UGGACGGAUUAUUGUAUUCGACUGUAUUCACGACGUGAAAUAGGAGAUUACACUAUUUUUAAAACGGAAAGUGAAUCAAUUAACAUAAAAGACUCCU
Molecule: microRNA precursor, 97 nt
Filed under: Nicotiana sylvestris (wood tobacco)
Lineage: Eukaryota; Viridiplantae; Streptophyta; Magnoliopsida; Solanales; Solanaceae
Description: MIR6152 microRNA precursor family
Rfam family: MIR6152 microRNA precursor family
Source: Rfam by way of RNAcentral